RNAcentral lists this long non-coding RNA (492 nucleotides) under Aedes aegypti (yellow fever mosquito). RNAcentral's name for it is "lncRNA AAEL022826". The record is from RNAcentral. Lineage: Eukaryota; Metazoa; Arthropoda; Insecta; Diptera; Culicidae.
UUGAAGUUAUACAUUCUCCACAUAAUAAGUUAAACUAUGCAAGUUUUGCACCCGCGAAAUUUGACCAGUGUAUAACUCCCACCGAUAACCACCAUCAUUGUUUUUUUUUUCACGUUGUUGGUGUCAAUUUUGUCGAGGUGAAAUUGUAAUUAUUUGCGGCUAAAAUACGUGUGUGUCUCGCGCAAGAAGUUGGAUUUGAAACAUCAUUUGUUUCUAGACGAUAUGGGAAAAUAAAAGACACUUCCGAAGUGAUGAACGGCAAGGAAUCAUUGUUGCAGAUAUUCCGGGCAACAAUCCGAGACAGUUGUGCAAAAUGCUGAGCGGCAGAAGAGCGAAGUGGAAGGCAGAAAGAGAUCCUGAAGCACCUUGACCGGAACAUUUUAGUGAUAUUGAUUAAAGUAUGCGAAUGUACUCUUUCAACAUUGUGAUACGUAGAUUCUUCAUAAUAAAUAAAUGUGUCCGUUCCGUCCGUUUACUGGUCUUUCAUAGGAA